This 429-nucleotide ribosomal RNA is filed under the name Gemmatimonadota bacterium. Its description in RNAcentral is "Gemmatimonadetes bacterium partial 16S ribosomal RNA". It matches the Rfam family "Bacterial small subunit ribosomal RNA", at positions 355 to 776 of the family's 1533-position model. Lineage: Bacteria; Pseudomonadati; Gemmatimonadota. The record is from RNAcentral.
UAGGGAAUCUUCGGCAAUGGACGAAAGUCUGACCGAGCAACGCCGCGUGAGUGAAGAAGGUUUUCGGAUCGUAAAACUCUGUUGUUAGAGAAGAACAAGGACGUUAGUAACUGAACGUCCCCUGACGGUAUCUAACCAGAAAGCCACGGCUAACUACGUGCCAGCAGCCGCGGUAAUACGUAGGUGGCAAGCGUGGUCCGGAUUUAUUGGGCGUAAAGCGAGCGCAGGCGGUUUCUUAAGUCUGAUGUGAAAGCCCCCGGCUCAACCGGGGAGGGUCAUUGGAAACUGGGAGACGUGAGUGCAGAAGAGGAGAGUGGAAGUCCAUGUGUAGCGGUGAAAUGCGUAGAUAUAUGGAGGAACACCAGUGGCGAAGGCGGCUCUCUGGUCUGUAACCGAAGCUGAGGCUGGAAAGCGUGGGGAGCAAACAGG